GACGAACGCUGGCGGCGUGCCUAAUACAUGCAAGUAGAACGCACAGUUUAUACCGUAGCUUGCUACACCAUAAACUGUGAGUUGCGAGCGGGUGAGUAACGCGUAGGUAACCUGCCUGGUAGCGGGGGAUAACUAUUGGAAACGAUAGCUAAUACCGCAUAAUAUUGAUUAUUGCAUGAUAAUUGAUUGAAAGAUGCUAUUGCAUCACUACCAGAUGGACCUGCGUUGUAUUAGCUAGUAGGUGAGGUAACGGCUCACCUAGGCGACGAUACAUAGCCGACCUGAGAGGGUGAUCGGCCACACUGGGACUGAGACACGGCCCAGACUCCUACGGGAGGCAGCAGUAGGGAAUCUUCGGCAAUGGACGAAAGUCUGACCGAGCAACGCCGCGUGAGUGAAGAAGGUUUUCGGAUCGUAAAGCUCUGUUGUAAGAGAAGAACGGGUGUGAGAGUGGAAAGUUCACACUGUGACGGUAUCUUAACAGAAAGGGACGGCUAACUACGUG
This 505-nucleotide ribosomal RNA is filed under the name uncultured bacterium. RNAcentral's name for it is "partial 16S ribosomal RNA". It matches the Rfam family "Bacterial small subunit ribosomal RNA", at positions 28 to 507 of the family's 1533-position model. The record is from RNAcentral.